Molecule: ribosomal RNA, 477 nt
Filed under: uncultured bacterium
Lineage: Bacteria
Description: bacterial SSU rRNA
Rfam family: Bacterial small subunit ribosomal RNA
Source: RNAcentral
UUCGCAAUGCCCGAAAGGGUGACGAAGCGACGCCGCGUGUGGGAAGAAGGCCUUCGGGUUGUAAACCACUGUCGGGAGUUAAGAAAUGCAAGGAUAUGAAUAGUGUCUUUGCUUGACUAAGGCUCCGGAGGAAGCCACGGCUAACUCUGUGCCAGCAGCCGCGGUAAUACAGAGGCGGCAAGCGUUGUUCGGAAUUAUUGGGCGUAAAGAGCACGUAGGCGGCUAUGUAAGUCGGUUGUGAAAGCCUUCCGCUCAACGGAAGAACAGCAUCCGAUACUACAUGGCUUGAGUGCGGGAGGGGAGAGUGGAACUUCUGGGGGAGCGGUGAAAUGCGUAGAUAUCAGAAGGAACGCCGGCGGCGAAAGCGGCUCUCUGGCCCAUAACUGACGCUGAGUGUGCGAAAGCUAGGGGAGCAAACGGGAUUAGAUACCCCGGUAGUCCUAGCCGUAAACGAUGGGCACUAAGUAGAGGGGUUUU